ACUGAAGAUCUCCAUCCAGGUAGGUAUUGUCCCCUCUGCCUACUAAAAUGAAAUUUAAACUAUAUCCCAGAUUGGUAUGUACCAAAAACAUCAAAGUGGUGGUUACUGGAUUAAGUUACUAGGUGCUUGAACCCAAAGGCAGAGGUUAAUUGACUCAAAUCGCUACCGAGGAGAACCUCCGCUGGUAAGUUUUUCAUCUUCG
Molecule: non-coding RNA, 202 nt
Organism: Pelobates cultripes (western spadefoot toad)
Lineage: Eukaryota; Metazoa; Chordata; Amphibia; Anura; Pelobatidae
Source: the annotation of a GenBank genome assembly